This 400-nucleotide ribosomal RNA is filed under the name uncultured bacterium. Its description in RNAcentral is "bacterial SSU rRNA". It matches the Rfam family "Bacterial small subunit ribosomal RNA", at positions 355 to 752 of the family's 1533-position model. The record is from RNAcentral.
UAAGGAAUAUUGGUCAAUGGACGGAAGUCUGAACCAGCCAUCCCGCGUGCAGGAUGAAGGUCCUAUGGAUUGUAAACUGCUUUUAGCAGAGACGAAAUGUUGUCAUUUAUGAUGAUUUGACGGUAUCUGCAGAAUAAGCACCGGCUAACUCCGUGCCAGCAGCCGCGGUAAUACGGAGGGUGCAAGCGUUAUCCGGAAUCACUGGGUUUAAAGGGUGCGUAGGCGGAAUAUUAAGUCAGUGGUGAAAGCCUGUCGCUUAACGAUAGAACAGCCAUUGAUACUGAUAUUCUUGAAUUGGGUUGAGGUUAGCGGAAUGUGACAUGUAGCGGUGAAAUGCAUAGAUAUGUCAUGGAACACCAAUUGCGAAGGCAGCUAGCUAGGCCUUGAUUGACGCUGAGGC